GGGCCCAUAGCUUAGUCUGGAACGAGAUUAUCAACGCAUUCGUUGUCGACCAGUGGUCCCGAGUUCAAAUCUCGGUGGGCCCA
RNAcentral lists this transfer RNA (83 nucleotides) under Candidatus Woesearchaeota archaeon. Its description in RNAcentral is "tRNA-Asp". It matches the Rfam family "tRNA". Rfam says of the family: Transfer RNA (tRNA) molecules are approximately 80 nucleotides in length. The record is from RNAcentral. Lineage: Archaea; Nanobdellati; Candidatus Woesearchaeota.